Cucurbita moschata (crookneck pumpkin) is the source of this 78-nucleotide small nucleolar RNA. RefSeq annotates it as small nucleolar RNA snoR122. The transcript has a single exon. NCBI's taxonomy places the organism in Eukaryota, Viridiplantae, Streptophyta, Magnoliopsida, Cucurbitales, Cucurbitaceae. The record is from RefSeq and is a predicted model, not a curated record.
GGCCAAUGAUGCAUUUGAAUGCACGUAUUAUCAGAUUAAAAGAUGAUGAUUCUGCAGAUUGUCACUACCUCUGAGGCC